This 1447-nucleotide ribosomal RNA is filed under the name uncultured organism. Its description in RNAcentral is "bacterial SSU rRNA". It matches the Rfam family "Bacterial small subunit ribosomal RNA". The record is from RNAcentral.
UGGCUCAGAACGAACGUUGGCGGCGUGCUUAAUACAUGCAAGUCGUACGAGAAAGCACUUCGGGUGUGAGUAGAGUGGCGCACGGGUGAGUAAUGCAUAGAUAAUCUGCCUUUUAGCGGGGGAUAACCUUUCGAAAGAGGGGCUAAUACCGCAUAAGACCACAGUGAUUUUUUCACAGUGGCCAAAGGUGCCUUAGUUUUCGGUACCGCUAAAAGAUGAGUCUAUGUCCCAUUAGCUUGUUGGUAGGGUAAAGGCCUACCAAGGCGACGAUGGGUAGCUGGUCUGAGAGGAUGAUCAGUCACACUGGAACUGAGACACGGUCCCGACUCCUACGGGAGGCAGCAGUAGGGAAUUUUGCGCAAUGGACGAAAGUCUGACGCAGCAACGCCGCGUGAGGGAUGAAGGGUUUCGGCUCGUAAACCUCUGUUGAGUAGGAAGAAACGUCAUGGGGUUAAUACCCUCAUGGCCUGACGGUACUACUCGAGGAAGCUCCGGCUAACUACGUGCCAGCAGCCGCGGUAAUACGUAGGGGGCGAGCGUUGUUCGGAAUCACUGGGCGUAAAGGGAGCGUAGGCGGGAAGGUAAGUCAGAAGUCUAACACAUGGGCUUAACCCAUGUCCGGCUUUUGAUACUGCUUUUCUUGAGUAUGGGAGAGGAAGAUGGAAUUCCAGGUGUAGCGGUGGAAUGCGUAGAUAUCUGGAAGAACACCAGUUGCGAAGGCGGUCUUCUGGCCCAAUACUGACGCUGAGGCUCGAAAGCUAGGGGAGCAAACAGGAUUAGAUACCCUGGUAGUCCUAGCCAUAAACGAUGGACACUAGUUGGUGGAGGGAGUCAAUCUUUUCACUGACGAAGUUAACGCAUUAAGUGUCCCGCCUGGGGAGUACGCCCGCAAGGGUGAAACUCAAAGGAAUUGACGGGGGCCCGCACAAGCGGUGGAGCAUGUGCUUUAAUUCGAUGCAACGCGAAGAACCUUACCUGGGUUUGACAUGGGGAUGAAACUCUCCAGAGAUGGAGAGCCUUCCUUCGGGAACAUCCUACACAGGUGCUGCAUGGUUGUCGUCAGCUCGUGUCGUGAGAUGUUGGGUUAAGUCCCGCAACGAGCGCAACCCUCGUCCUUAGUUGCCAUCAGGUAAUGCUGGGAACUCUAGGGAGACUGCCUGGUCACAACCAGGAGGAAGGUGAGGAUGACGUCAAAUCAUCAUGGCUCUUACGCCCAGGGCUAGACACGUGCUACAGUGGUUGGUACAAUGGGAUGCCACACUGCGAAGUGGAGCAAACCCCAAAAAACCAACCUCAGUUCAGAUUGGAGUCUGCAAUUCGACUCCAUGAAGGUGGAAUCGCUAGUAAUCGCGGAUCAGCAUGCCGCGGUGAUACGUUCCCGGGCAUUGUACACACCGCCCGUCAAGCCAUGAAAGGUGGGAGUGCCCAAAGUCGUGGCUCCAACCGC